This 747-nucleotide small RNA is filed under the name Pongo abelii (Sumatran orangutan). RNAcentral's name for it is "sense overlapping". Lineage: Eukaryota; Metazoa; Chordata; Mammalia; Primates; Hominidae. The record is from RNAcentral.
GUGGGAGUGGUGGCUACAGGAACCCAUCGGAGCCAAACUUGGGGCCAGGAAGUCCCUCACAGCUCGGUGCGGCUGUAUUGAGGGUAGGACCAGCCCCGUUAGCUUUCCUCCUCUGCCGUCCUGCCACAGACUCCACAGUGGCCCAGUCAAGGGCACGCCACUGUCUGAAUGGACAGUGAAUGAGCCCAGCCACCAAACCCAGCGUGGGGAGCCUGGGAAGCACCCACAUGGGGUGGCUGUGGAUGCCGGGCUCAGCUCACAUGCAGACACAUGGGUCUAAUGAUCACACCACAGACUUGGGGAACUGUGGACCAGCCUCGGGUCCCAGACCAAAGACCAGCAGCUCUGAAGACAGGAGUCCACGCAGGUGGGAGCAGUGUGGGCCCGACCCUCACAGGACCAAGUGCCUGCUAACCAAAGACACCCACGCAGGCGGGAACAAUGUGGGCCCGACCCUCACGGGACCAAGUGCCUGCUAACCAGACUUCAACAUUUCCCACAGGAUUCAAACAUGACCCAGAUCUCAUAAAGUCAUAUUCAAAAUGUCUAGAAUAUAGCCCAAAAUUACUUGACACACGAAGAACCACAACAUUUCAGCUUCAGCUGGGCACCGCGGCUCACACCUGUAACCUUAGUCCCCUGGGAGGCCACGGCUGCAGGGAGCAAUGACUGGGCCGCUGUACUCCAGCCUGGGUGACGGAGACCCUGUUUCUAAAAAAAAAUAAAAUAAAAAAUUCAAUGUGCAAA